AAUAUGAUCAUUUUUCGUUUUUCCGUGUCUAACAUUUAAUCAUUCGUCUUAUUUGAAAAAAAUUUAUGGUUAAUAUUUUUGUUCUUACUAGAUAAUAAAAUAUGAAUAGUACUUUAUGUGUGACUAAUUUUUUAAGUUUUUAUACAAAUUUUUCAAAUAAGACGAAUGGUCAAACAUUAGACACGGAAAAAC
Molecule: non-coding RNA, 192 nt
Organism: Oryza brachyantha (malo sina)
Lineage: Eukaryota; Viridiplantae; Streptophyta; Magnoliopsida; Poales; Poaceae
Source: Rfam